CAGUUACUCCCUUCGUCCCAAAAUUCUUGUCUUAAAUUUAUCUAGAGAUGGAUGUAUCUAAAUACUAAAACGUNNNUAGAUACAUUCAUAUCUAGAUAAAUCUAAGAUAAAAAAUUUAGGACGGAGGGAGUACCAG
Non-coding RNA from Hordeum vulgare subsp. vulgare (domesticated barley), 136 nucleotides. The record is from Rfam. NCBI's taxonomy places the organism in Eukaryota, Viridiplantae, Streptophyta, Magnoliopsida, Poales, Poaceae.